GUCAAAGUUUAGAGGCUUAAAGCACAUUACAAAUUGGCCCAUGGCUUAGAAAAGAAAGAGCCUUGCUAAAACAACCCCACGCGUCAAGAGCCCAACCCACAAAGGAACUCGAACUGAGGCGGGUUGUUGCCCGGGGCAAAGGAGAAUCUCUACAAAGCAAAAUGGGGCCAUCACUGCAGCUUCAUCCAGCAAUUUCACUAGAAGGGAGAUAUUAUGAGCUAUAGAACCACCGCCAGGGCUAAUACGGCAAGAUUGCCUAAACCAUAAAAUCCAAGCUAGAUAGUACCCAGGAUUCAAGCAUCCCAGAUAAGCUCCAAAAGGAA
Molecule: unclassified non-coding RNA, 323 nt
Filed under: Hevea brasiliensis (rubber tree)
Lineage: Eukaryota; Viridiplantae; Streptophyta; Magnoliopsida; Malpighiales; Euphorbiaceae
Source: RNAcentral